RNAcentral lists this non-coding RNA (86 nucleotides) under unclassified sequences. Its description in RNAcentral is "DUF3800-X RNA". It matches the Rfam family "DUF3800-X RNA". The record is from Rfam by way of RNAcentral.
GGGGAGGUAAGGUCGGCGAUAGCCCCUCCGGCCGAAACGAUGAGGCUCACGUAAGUGGGGUGGGAUGGAGUAGGCCGGGGCUCCCC